RNAcentral lists this ribosomal RNA (395 nucleotides) under uncultured bacterium. Its description in RNAcentral is "bacterial SSU rRNA". It matches the Rfam family "Bacterial small subunit ribosomal RNA", at positions 28 to 424 of the family's 1533-position model. The record is from RNAcentral.
GACGAACGCUGGCGGCGUGCCUAACACAUGCAAGUCGAACGGAGUAGAGAGCUUCGGUUUUCUACUUAGUGGCGAACGGGUGAGUAACGCGUGAGGAACCUGCCUCUCAGUGGGGGACAACAGUUGGAAACGACUGCUAAUACCGCAUAAUGUAGCGAGACCGCAUGGUCAUGCUACCAAAGAUUUAUUGCUGAAAGAUGGUCUCGCGUCUGAUUAGCUAGUUGGUGAGGUAACGGCUCACCAAGGCGACGAUCAGUAGCCGGUCUGAGAGGAUGAACGGCCACAUUGGGACUGAGAUACGGCCCAGACUCCUACGGGAGGCAGCAGUGGGGGAUAUUGCACAAUGGGCGAAAGCCUGAUGCAGCGACGCCGCGUGAGGGAAGACGGCCUCGGUU